RNAcentral lists this ribosomal RNA (253 nucleotides) under uncultured bacterium. RNAcentral describes it as "partial 16S ribosomal RNA". It matches the Rfam family "Bacterial small subunit ribosomal RNA", at positions 524 to 776 of the family's 1533-position model. The record is from RNAcentral.
UACGUAGGGUGCGAGCGUUAAUCGGAAUUACUGGGCGUAAAGCGUGCGCAGGCGGUUCGUUGUGUCGGUGGUGAAAUCCCCGGGCUUAACCUGGGAAUGGCCAUGGAAACUGGCGAACUGGAGUGCGGCAGAGGGGGGUGGAAUUCCGCGUGUAGCAGUGAAACGCGUAGAGAUGCGGAGGAACACCGAUGGCGAAGGCAGCCCCCUGGGCUAGCACUGACGCUCAGGCACGAAAGCGUGGGGAGCAAACAGG